Molecule: long non-coding RNA, 1648 nt
Organism: Gallus gallus (chicken)
Lineage: Eukaryota; Metazoa; Chordata; Aves; Galliformes; Phasianidae
Source: Ensembl
UGGAUGCCCAUUGCUCUCCAGAAAGAGAAUGAAGGUGACCUCUCUGUGUGUGAGUGAGGUGUCCACCAAAGACAGGCUGAAGCACUGCUGCCCUCCUGCUGAAGAGCUCCUCCUCCUCACCCACCUCCCAGCCAGGCUCACAGCUGAGUUCUUGGCUGCUUCCUGCCCUGGUGGAGCAUUUUCCUGGGCUGUAUUUCCUCCUGUGGUGGGGAGUCAUUCCUCAUGCUCCUGUGGAGCGGGGCAGCCCUGUGAAUGUGACUGGGGCUGCUCUCUGCUUAGCAGAGCAAAGGAGAUGCGUUCGACUGAGCUAAAAAUAGCACCAAUUCUUUUUUAAAUAAUACCAAUUUUUCUUUCUUUUGGAAGAAAGCAACCAGGGCCUAAUGUAAGCAGAUACAAAAUAAGGGCGAGUCUGGCUAUUUCCCCGGGGAAAGCUUGAGAUGCUUACCUCAUCAUUUCUUGGAGUGCUCUAACAUCAACUCUGUCUGUCCCUGGUGAUGUACUGUCCUCACCGCUGCAUGGGGAAUAGACCUGAGUUCCAUAUGCAGCACUAGCUGGGAGAGAGGGAGGUUUUUAUACCAUUUUCUAAUUGUUUUUGUAUUUAAUUAUGGAGAUCCCGAGCGCUGGGUGCUUAACUCAAGGUGUCUGCAAACAGCCACAGAACAAAGCAGGGCUGUGUGUUUCUGCAGGGCUCGGGCUCUAGGUGUGCGCAAUGGCCUGGGGAUUGGGGCACCUCUUGAUGUUCUGUGCUGCAGCUCAUUAGGAAAAAGGAAAGUUAGCAGUGAAAGCCCGCAAUCAAAUAAACAAUAAAAGGGCAAAACUGUGUUUCCCCCUCUGUAAUUUGAUCUGUAAGAAAUGUAAAUUGCUCAUCCAGAAGAGAGCGAUUUUCAAUUAGUGCUGUUUUCUUAAACAUGCAAAUCCCCAGCCUUGUUUAGCUGCACAGUUUUGCCCUAACUCUGCAGAGAAUUCCCAAGCAACCUUUAAUAGACGGCCAUGCCUUCAGGCUUGUCCACUUAUGUUUUCUCUCCUGCCUGGGCACAAGAUAGAUUAUGCAUAUUAUUAUUCAUAAGUGCCACCUAUUGAAGGCACCACCACAGGCACGUUGCAAAUGGUGGGCUUGCCCCAGCUGUCCCCGCUCAAGCGAAACAUUCCAGCUCUCCGGCAGACCCUCCAAACCUCACCCUCAAAAUCGCUGGUAUUUUUCUUGGCACGGGGAAGGGCAUGCGGGAUAUCUGGUAGCCUUUACAGGCAGCUGAAAUCAAGAGGGUUUCCCCGUGCCCUCCUGCAGAGGUUCCCGAUGGCUGCUGCUUUGUCUCAGCAGUGCUGGGGAGCGAUGCAGUGCUGCUUGGUGAGGGCAGUGGUCCCCUGGCUGGUAUGGGGCAUGGUGAGCAGCCAGUGCAGACACACAGGGAAGCAAACGGGAGGCUUUCAAACGAUUUAGUUCUGAGCUUGGAAGUAGGAAUAGUAUUUAAAUAAAUGUUUUGAAUGCUUGUGGCUAGAAUUAAGCAUAACCCUACAUUGCUACAAAAGGUCAAUUGUGAUUCUAAUUACUCUUAUGCAAAAUAGCUCAUGUUUGAACUGUGCAGUUAUAAUUAAUACAUAUGCCUUAUUGCCAACUGUGAGCAUUUCUGAUCAUUAGAACCUGGACAGC